GUUUGCUUCAGUUGCACGUAUACUAAAAUUGGAAUGAGACAGAAGAUUAGCAUGGCCCCUGUGCAAGGAUGACUUGCAAAUUUGUGAAGUGUUCCACAUUAUG
Small nuclear RNA from Lemur catta (Ring-tailed lemur), 103 nucleotides. Lineage: Eukaryota; Metazoa; Chordata; Mammalia; Primates; Lemuridae. The record is from RefSeq and is a predicted model, not a curated record.